Molecule: ribosomal RNA, 497 nt
Filed under: uncultured bacterium
Lineage: Bacteria
Description: partial 16S ribosomal RNA
Rfam family: Bacterial small subunit ribosomal RNA
Source: RNAcentral
GAUGAACGCUGGCGGCGUGCCUAAUACAUGCAAGUCGAGCGAACAGACGAGCAUCUUGUUCCGCUGUCGUUAGCCGCGGACGGGUGAGUAACACGUAAAUAACCUACCUAUUACACUCGACUAACUUCGAGACACCGGAGACAGUACCGGAUACUCUAUUGAACCGCAUGGUUCUGUCGUGAAUGGCGGUCUUUUUGCUAGUUGUAGGUGGUUCCGCGCCGCCUUAGCUGGUUGGUAAGGUAGCGGCUGACUAACGCAACGAUGCGUAGCCGACCUGAGAGGGUGAUCGGCCACACUGGAACUGAGACACGGUCCAGACUCCUACGGGAGGCAGCAGUAGGGAAUCUUCCGCAAUGGGCGAAAGCUUGACGGAGCAACGGCGCGUGAGUGAUGAAGGUCUUCGGAUCGUAAAACUCUGUUAUUAGGGAAGAACAAAUGUGUAAGUAGCUAUGCACGUCUUGACGGUACUUAAUCAGAAAGCCACGGCUAACUACGUG